RNAcentral lists this ribosomal RNA (253 nucleotides) under uncultured bacterium. RNAcentral's name for it is "partial 16S ribosomal RNA". It matches the Rfam family "Bacterial small subunit ribosomal RNA", at positions 524 to 776 of the family's 1533-position model. The record is from RNAcentral.
UACGUAGGGUGCAAGCGUUGUCCGGAAUUAUUGGGCGUAAAGAGCUCGUAGGCGGUCUGUUACGUCGGAUGUGAAAACCCGAGGCUUAACCUCGGGCCUGCAUUCGAUACGGGUAGACUCGAGUGUGGUAGGGGAGACUGGAACUCCUGGUGUAGCGGUGAAAUGCGCAGAUAUCAGGAGGAACACCGGUGGCGAAGGCGGCAUCCUGGACCGGCAUUGACGCUGAGGCGCGAAAGCCAGGGGAGCAAACGGG